AUUGAACGCUGGCGGCGUGCCUUACACAUGCAAGUCGAACGGCAGCGGGGGAGAAGCUUGCUUUUCCUGCCGGCGAGUGGCGAACGGGUGAGUAAUACAUCGGAACGUGCCCUGUAGUGGGGGAUAACUAGUCGAAAGAUUAGCUAAUACCGCAUACGACCUGAGGGUGAAAGUGGGGGACCGCAAGGCCUCAUGCUAUAGGAGCGGCCGACGUCUGAUUAGCUAGUUGGUGGGGUAAAGGCCUACCAAGGCGACGAUCAGUAGCUGGUCUGAGAGGACGAUCAGCCACCCUGGGACUGAGACACGGGCCAGACUCCUACGGGAGGCAGCAGUGGGGAAUUUUGGACAAUGGGCGAAAGCCUGAUCCAGCAAUGCCGCGUGUGUGAAGAAGGCCUUCGGGUUGUAAAGCACUUUUGUCCGGAAAGAAAUGGCUCUGGUUAAUACCUGGGGUCGAUGACGGUACCGGAAGAAUAAGGACCGGCUAACUACGUGCCAGCCGCCGCAGUAA
Molecule: ribosomal RNA, 508 nt
Filed under: uncultured bacterium
Lineage: Bacteria
Description: partial 16S ribosomal RNA
Rfam family: Bacterial small subunit ribosomal RNA
Source: RNAcentral